RNAcentral lists this unclassified non-coding RNA (538 nucleotides) under Meloidogyne enterolobii. RNAcentral describes it as "partial SCAR marker MK7F/MK7R". Lineage: Eukaryota; Metazoa; Nematoda; Chromadorea; Rhabditida; Meloidogynidae. The record is from RNAcentral.
UGAUCAGAGGCGGGCGCAUUGCGAUUUGCGUUUUCCCGAUUGUCUUUUGCGUCCACUCCUGCUUCGGACUACAAUAUAUCUUCUCGGGACGAUUAAAAAAAUUUAAUACCUUUAAACCUAACUAGUAUCUACUAAUUUAUCAUUAAUUUAAAAUUUUUUUUCUCUUUUUAAUUUUGUGUGACCCUUUAACAUUCUACAGUUAUUUGCUCUAUUUGCACAAGAAUUUUUGCCUUCAUUUUUAAUUCAUUUCUGACCUUGGUAAAAAUAUAAAAUGAUUGGAAAGUACAGAUAAAUAUUUAUAAAAUUUUCCGAAAAGUAAAAGAAAAAAUAUUCAUCAAAUCUUCACAUUUCUCAAAUUUGUAUAUUUUUAUUUUUGGGGGUUUUGAAAAUAUUCUGAUCAUUUUAUUAUCCUUUAAUAUUAUUUCUUGUAAAUUUGGUCCCCAUUUUUUAAGUAAAAUGACGAUCGAAAAAGUCUUACCAACUUAAAUAUCUUCCCUCCUGUAUUGAGACUAGAGUAAGUCGAGUUCGAGCGAGUUCG